This 492-nucleotide ribosomal RNA is filed under the name uncultured bacterium. RNAcentral's name for it is "partial 16S ribosomal RNA". It matches the Rfam family "Bacterial small subunit ribosomal RNA", at positions 29 to 507 of the family's 1533-position model. The record is from RNAcentral.
AGUGAACGCUGGCGGUAGGCCUAACACAUGCAAGUCGAACGGCAGCACAGUAAGAGCUUGCUCUUACGGGUGGCGAGUGGCGGACGGGUGAGGAAUACAUCGGAAUCUACUUUUUCGUGGGGGAUAACGUAGGGAAACUUACGCUAAUACCGCAUACGACCUACGGGUGAAAGCAGGGGAUCUUCGGACCUUGCGCGAUUGAAUGAGCCGAUGUCGGAUUAGCUAGUUGGCGGGGUAAAGGCCCACCAAGGCGACGAUCCGUAGCUGGUCUGAGAGGAUGAUCAGCCACACUGGAACUGAGACACGGUCCAGAGUCCUACGGGAGGCAGCAGUGGGGAAUAUUGGACAAUAGGCGCAAGCCUGAUCCAGCCAUACCGCGUGGGUGAAGAAGGCCUUCGGGUUGUAAAGCCCUUUUGUUGGGAAAGAAAAGCAGCAGGUUAAUACCCCGCUGUUCUGACGGUACCCAAAGAAUAAGCACCGGCUAACUUCGUG